Molecule: ribosomal RNA, 229 nt
Filed under: uncultured bacterium
Lineage: Bacteria
Description: partial 16S ribosomal RNA
Rfam family: Bacterial small subunit ribosomal RNA
Source: RNAcentral
UCCGUAGGUGGAUAAUUAAGUCAGAGGUGAAAGUUUGCAGCUCAACUGUAAAAUUGCCUUUGAUACUGGUUGUCUUGAGUUAUUAUGAAGUAGUUAGAAUAUGUAGUGUAGCGGUGAAAUGCAUAGAUAUUACAUAGAAUACCAAUUGCGAAGGCAGAUUACUAAUAAUGUACCGACACUGAUGGACGAAAGCGUGGGGAGCGAACAGGAUUAGAUACCCUGGUAGUCC